Molecule: long non-coding RNA, 1630 nt
Organism: Gasterosteus aculeatus aculeatus (three-spined stickleback)
Lineage: Eukaryota; Metazoa; Chordata; Actinopteri; Perciformes; Gasterosteidae
Source: Ensembl
UAAAACAAAUCCAGCUGCUCUAUGUGGAAGACAAUCUAUUAUAAAUUCCAAGUCAUUAACAACUAUUCACUUACCAAUGCGAGAGCUAAAAGGAACAAAGAAAGAUUUUCAUGUGAGAGUUUUAAAAGGUUUUACUGUUGGCUUCAAUAUUUCCUGAUUUACAGGCCCAAAAUGAACCCUCAAACUUUACCCCACAGCUGGAAACAAAUUUAUGUCUGACAGCACCCAGAUUCACGUUAAGAGAGCUACAGUAAACAGCUUGAGAAGCUUACUACGACUCAACUCGUCAUAUGGAGGAAGAGUUUAGCUAGUUGAAUAGCCGCGGUUGCUACACCAUAGCGAAGACAACAUAGUGAUAGUGAUGAAACAAUAACAAUUCUUUGCUGACUUUGUCGGCUAAGGCCCUGACAAUUCCUUAAUAUAAAAUAGUUUAGUCGUAGCAGGGACCCUAAAAAAAGACUAGGUUUUAGAAAAUGUGUCUCCCAUUUAAAUUCAUGGAUUACACCACCAUUGUGCACCUCAACCCAUUUCAAGCCCCAUAACAAUUUAUCCAUGUAAGUAAAUCUGUUUUCUUGAGUGUUUAAAUCCAAUUUUUGAAAUUUCUGUAAUCUUUAAUCCAAUUUUAGGGACAUUUCAGUAAUGAGUCAAAUAUAACAGAUGUAAACAAUCCAAUAACAAAGGAAGUAAUGACUUUCCCACAAUUCAAUUACAUUUUUCUCCUUGCAGAGUAUUUAUGGUAUUUAAGGAUCCAUCCACAAAAAUAGGAACUUCUUUGGAUUCAAUUUCAGUUUAUUCUUAUACAUGAAAGCACGAGUCACUAACAAAAAACAGCCAACAAACAAUAUCUAUGGAUGAAGGUUUCAAAGAUUAUUUAAUUUUGGACUACAUUGUGGAGAGACAGGAUAUGCAGAAGGGUCAUUAACAAUGUUCAUGGCCGUUCAUCUGCGUCUCACUGCAAUUUCAACUCGUAUCUUGCUGAUUAGGAAGAAGUGAAAUCACAUCAUUAAAUGUACCUAUAUUUGACAAACCGUAAUGAACCAGCAACGGCUUGCUGUAAUGGAUGAGAUAGCAGAGACUGAGAGCACACACUUCUGAAAAUAUCUAUAAAUAGUCUGGGCUGUUAGCAAAGGAAUGAGGAAACAGAGACAUUAAUAUUCAGGGUCUCGCUGUAAUUUCCCGCUAAUCAAAAGAUGAGAUCAGCUGCUGAAUCUGAAUCACCACUGACCUGUGCAACACACACGCACAGAAAAAAAUGCAUGCAUUGGCACAACCAGGCUGGUACAAGAACUACACACAGGUAUACAGCUAAGUCAACAUACAGAGGACGUUCAGUUUCCAUGAACAACAGGCUACACAAAAUACACACAAUAUGAUAUGUACACAUCAUAUGUGCAAGUAAAAAAAAAAGAAUUGCAACUGUAAUGGGAAAAUGAUAUGUGACCCGUUUAAAUGCUUCAUUUAUAUAACCAGUUUAUUAGUUGCAAGUGCUUAGGUCACAAAGGCCCUGACAUAAGAACUGAUGUCUCCCACUUGGAUUAGAUGUUUCCAGCAUCAUAGCUGUAGAGAUUGAAGUGUUUGUUAUGUCUAUGACCACCUUUGUUUUAGCAUGUUGGGAGAGCAGGGACACGGU